RNAcentral lists this ribosomal RNA (465 nucleotides) under uncultured bacterium. Its description in RNAcentral is "partial 16S ribosomal RNA". It matches the Rfam family "Bacterial small subunit ribosomal RNA", at positions 28 to 507 of the family's 1533-position model. The record is from RNAcentral.
GAUGAACGCUGGCGGCGUGCUUAACACAUGCAAGUCGAACGGAAAGGCUCCUGCUUGCCGGGGUACUCGAGUGGCGAACGGGUGAGUAACACGUGGGUGAUCUGCCCUGCACUUCGGGAUAAGCCUGGGAAACUGGGUCUAAUACCGGAUAGGACCACAUUUUGGAUGGUGUGGUGGAAAGUUUGUCGGUGUGGGAUGAGCUAGCGGCCUAUCAGCUUGUUGGUGGGGUAAUGGCUUACCAAGGCGUCGACGGGUAGCCGGCCUGAGAGGGUGUACGGCCACAUUGGGACUGAGAUACGGCCCAGACGCCUACGGGGGGCAGCAGUGGAGAAUAUUGCACAAUGGGCGCGAGCCUGAUGCAGCGACGCCGCGUGGGGGAUGACGGCCUUCGGGGUGUAAACUCCUUUCACUAGGGACGAAGCGCAAGUGACGUUACCUAGAGAAGAAGCACCGGCUAACUACGUG